CGGUCGUACGUCGCGUACGUCUAGAGGUAGUUUCGAUCCUGGCGUACAGGACGAACGCUGGCGGCGUGCCUAACACAUGCAAGUCAACGGAACUUAGUUGAAGGAAUUCUUCGGAAGGACAUUGGUUAAGUUUAGUGGCGACGGGUGAGUAACGCGUGAGUAACCUGCCUCCGAGAGGGGAAUAACAAUCUGAAAAGAUUGCUAAUACCGCAUAACAUAGCGAAGUCGCAUGGCAGCGCUAUCAAAGAUUUAUCGCUCGGAGAUGGACUCGCGUCCGAUUAGUUAGUUGGUGAGGUAACGGCUCACCAAGACCGCGAUCGGUAGCCGGACUGAGAGGUUGAACGGCCACAUUGGGACUGAGACACGGCCCAGACUCCUACGGGAGGCAGCAGUGGGGGAUAUUGCGCAAUGGGGGAAACCCUGACGCAGCGACGCCGCGUGAAGGAUGAAGGUUUUCGGAUUGUAAACUUCUUUUAUUAAGGACGAAAAAAUGACGGUACUUAAUGAAUAAGCUCCGGCUAACUACGUG
RNAcentral lists this ribosomal RNA (529 nucleotides) under uncultured Oscillospiraceae bacterium. Its description in RNAcentral is "bacterial SSU rRNA". It matches the Rfam family "Bacterial small subunit ribosomal RNA", at positions 1 to 507 of the family's 1533-position model. Lineage: Bacteria; Bacillati; Bacillota; Clostridia; Eubacteriales; Oscillospiraceae. The record is from RNAcentral.